Non-coding RNA from Myotis lucifugus (little brown bat), 75 nucleotides. The record is from Rfam. NCBI's taxonomy places the organism in Eukaryota, Metazoa, Chordata, Mammalia, Chiroptera, Vespertilionidae.
GGUGGUUCUCCGGUGACGCAACCCAGGAUCGGGCUCCCUCCUCUCCGGUGCCAGGUGCAUCACCCGAGAACCACA